Non-coding RNA from Paramuricea clavata, 308 nucleotides. The record is from the annotation of a GenBank genome assembly. Lineage: Eukaryota; Metazoa; Cnidaria; Anthozoa; Malacalcyonacea; Plexauridae.
UUUUCUUCCCGCGAAAGCCCGUUCGAUAAUAGAAACAAAAAAUGGCAAUACAUAAUAGCCACCGAAUUUAUAUUAUUUAAACGCAGGCAGCCCGGUACAAUAUAAUAUAAUAAGUUUUUAAAAUAUUUCGAUAGUUUUAAAGUAAAGCUAAGUUCGGAAUAUUUAAUUUAGGCACGCCUAGCUAUAUUGUGCGCGCUGCCUAUAUAUGAUUUGAAUUACGACAUAAUUAAUCGUUUUAUUUGCAAAUGUCUAAUCUUGUUUCAUGCAUGAACUAUGAGUUGAUGUUUUGGAAUUGUUCUGCAACAGCG